Molecule: ribosomal RNA, 497 nt
Filed under: uncultured bacterium
Lineage: Bacteria
Description: partial 16S ribosomal RNA
Rfam family: Bacterial small subunit ribosomal RNA
Source: RNAcentral
GAUGAACGCUGGCGGCGUGCCUAAUACAUGCAAGUCGAGCGAACAGACGAGGAGCUUGCUCCUCUGACGUUAGCGGCGGACGGGUGAGUAACACGUGGAUAACCUACCUAUAAGACUGGGAUAACUUCGGGAAACCGGAGCUAAUACCGGAUAAUAUAUUGAACCGCAUGGUUCAAUAGUGAAAGACGGUUUUGCUGUCACUUAUAGAUGGAUCCGCGCCGCAUUAGCUAGUUGGUAAGGUAACGGCUUACCAAGGCGACGAUGCGUAGCCGACCUGAGAGGGUGAUCGGCCACACUGGAACUGAGACACGGUCCAGACUCCUACGGGAGGCAGCGGUAGGGAAUCUUCCGCAAUGGGCGAAAGCCUGACGGAGCGACGCCGCGUGAGUGAUGAAGGUCUUCGGAUCGUAAAACUCUGUUAUUAGGGAAGAACAAAUGUGUAAGUAACUAUGCACGUCUUGACGGUACCUAAUCAGAAAGCCACGGCUAACUACGUG